RNAcentral lists this ribosomal RNA (427 nucleotides) under uncultured bacterium. RNAcentral's name for it is "partial 16S ribosomal RNA". It matches the Rfam family "Bacterial small subunit ribosomal RNA", at positions 355 to 774 of the family's 1533-position model. The record is from RNAcentral.
UGGGGAAUAUUGCACAAUGGGCGCAAGCCUGAUGCAGCCAUGCCGCGUGUAUGAAGAAGGCCUUCGGGUUGUAAAGUACUUUCAGCGGGGAGGAAGGCGAUAAGGUUAAUAACCUUGUCGAUUGACGUUACCCGCAGAAGCAGCACCGGCUAACUCCGUGCCAGCAGCCGCGGUAAUACGGAGGGUGCAAGCGUUAAUCGGAAUUACUGGGCGUAAAGCGCACGCAGGCGGUCUGUCAAGUCGGAUGUGAAAUCCCCGGGCUCAACCUGGGAACUGCAUUCGAAACUGGCAGGCUAGAGUCUUGUAGAGGGGGGUAGAAUUCCAGGUGUAGCGGUGAAAUGCGUAGAGAUCUGGAGGAAUACCGGUGGCGAAGGCGGCCCCCUGGACAAAGACUGACGCUCAGGUGCGAAAGCGUGGGGAGCAAACA